AGCAGCCGCGGUAAUUCCAGCUCCAAUAGCGUAUAUUAAAGUUGUUGCAGUUAAAAAGCUCGUAGUUGAAUUUCGGGAUUGGCGCAUCGGUCGUGCCUCACGGGGUAUGAACUGGUGCAGUCAAUUUCUCACCUUCUGGAGAACCGCGAUGUCCUUAAUUGGAUGCCGCGGGGAACCAGGACCUUUACUUUGAAAAAAUUAGAGUGUUUAAAGCAGGCAUUUUUGCUUGAAUACAUUAGCAUGGAAUAAUAAAAUAGGACGGCAUGGUUCUAUUUUGUUGGUUUCUAGGACCACCGUAAUGAUUAAUAGGGAUAGUUGGGGGCAUUAGUAUUCAAUUGUCAGAGGUGAAAUUCUUGGAUUUAUUGAAGACUAACUACUGCGAAAGCAUUUGCCAAGGAUGUUUUCAUUAACCAAGAACGAAAGUUAGGGGAUCGAAGACGAUCAGAUACC
RNAcentral lists this ribosomal RNA (450 nucleotides) under uncultured Glomeromycotina. RNAcentral describes it as "SSU rRNA". It matches the Rfam family "Eukaryotic small subunit ribosomal RNA", at positions 569 to 1016 of the family's 1831-position model. Lineage: Eukaryota; Fungi; Glomeromycota. The record is from RNAcentral.